Long non-coding RNA from Tarenaya hassleriana, 853 nucleotides. RefSeq lists it as uncharacterized. The record is from RefSeq and is a predicted model, not a curated record. NCBI's taxonomy places the organism in Eukaryota, Viridiplantae, Streptophyta, Magnoliopsida, Brassicales, Cleomaceae. The transcript has 3 exons.
CCCAUUUCGUGUUCGUUUUUCUUCACUCGGAGCCGUGCCUGUAAGUUGCAGGGUUGAUCGGUUAAUCAUGUUGAAGAUUCAAACACCGAAGUCGGGAAAAGGCAAACGGGAAGUCGAGAAGCGCGCGCCUAAGCUCGCAAGUUUGGCUAUUGGUUCAUCCAUGCGUUUGAUUCGUUGUUUGUUUCUCGGGAAAGUUUCGAGAUUUUAAGCAGUGAAAACUAGACUUGCAACCCUAGUGGAGAAGAUUGAAUCUCAUUCAAGCUGCCUUUUUUUGCUGAUUUAGACAUCUAAAAGGGAAGAAGGCCUCUGACCUGUAAAAGGGACUAUCUAGUUGAGAACAUUUAUCAUCAAGCAAGCAGGUGUUUUUCUUCAUCCUUCCUUUUUGUCUCGGUUGAUGAUAUCGAGGGUAAGAGUUAUCUGUGCUUUUGGUAUAUCUGAGUCUUGCCAUUCCCGUUACCAUGUAAGCCGAGAUAACGUUUCUUUCAUACCAAAAAAGUAUAUAUUUACACAGAAAUGUACAUACCAAUUUAGCAUCUGCUUAUAACUAGAGUUAGUAAAAAAUGCUACCUUACCACCUCCAUUCCAUUAAUAUCUAUGCUUCCUUAAGCCUUUUGGUGCAGGAAUAUGACCUUGGCUAAAGACUAGAGUGAAACCAAAUGCGAAAAAGAAACUCGUUGGAUUUGAAUGAAACAAAAUUCUGUUUUUUAUGCUCUCCAUCAAGAAUGCUCGGUAAUGUAUCUCUUACUGAAAGCUCUCUAGAUCCUAUUGUAUUUGAUCUCGGUGUUAAACGAAGUUUCUUUUAUUUUUAUGUUCUGCAUUUUUCUUCCAGCUUUGUAUUCCGUUUCUCUGUAGG